AAUACGACUCUCGGGAACGGAUAUCUCGGCUCUCGCAUCUAUGAGGAACGUAGCGAAAUGCGAUACUUGGUGUGAAUUGCAGAAUCCCGUGAACCAUCGAGUCUUUGAACGCAAGUUGCGCCCCAAGCCGUUAGGCCGAGGGCACGUCUGCCUGGGUGUCACGC
This 164-nucleotide ribosomal RNA is filed under the name Bergera euchrestifolia. RNAcentral's name for it is "Murraya euchrestifolia 5.8S ribosomal RNA". It matches the Rfam family "5.8S ribosomal RNA". Rfam says of the family: 5.8S ribosomal RNA (5.8S rRNA) is a component of the large subunit of the eukaryotic ribosome. It is transcribed by RNA polymerase I as part of the 45S precursor that also contains 18S and 28S rRNA. The record is from RNAcentral. Lineage: Eukaryota; Viridiplantae; Streptophyta; Magnoliopsida; Sapindales; Rutaceae.